RNAcentral lists this ribosomal RNA (468 nucleotides) under uncultured bacterium. RNAcentral's name for it is "partial 16S ribosomal RNA". It matches the Rfam family "Bacterial small subunit ribosomal RNA", at positions 28 to 507 of the family's 1533-position model. The record is from RNAcentral.
GACGAACGCUGGCGGCGUGCUUAACACAUGCAAGUCGAACGGAAAGGCCCUGCUUUUGUGCUGUGCCCGAUUGGCGAACGGGUGCGUAACACGUGAGUAACCUGCCCUUCACUUUGGGAUAACUUCAGGAAACUGGGGCUAAUACCGGAUAGGAUCUCCUGCUCCAUGGUGGGGGUUGGAAAUUUUCGGCGGUUGGGGAUGGACUCGCGGCUUAUGAGCUUGUUGGUGGGGUAGUGGCUUACCAAGGCUUUGACGGGUACCCGGCCUGAGAGGGUGACCGGCCACAUUGGGACUGAGAUACGGACCAGACUGCUACGGGAGGCAGCAGUGGGGAGUAUUGCACAAUGGGCCGAAGCCGGAUGCAGAAACGCCGCGUGCGGGAUGACGGCCUUCGGGUUGUAAACCGCUUCCGCCUGUGACGAAGCGUGAGUGACGGUAAUGGGUAAAGAAGCACCGGCUAACUACGUG